GAUCUUCAGCCCCUACCUCAGGGGACUACUAUGAACUUGACUGAGAGAGUGAUCCGUGCAGAGGAACCUAUAUGUAAGCAGCUUUGAGAACCUAAUAGAAAUACGCCACUGCCUGACCACAGCUACUGGAUUUGUCCCCAUCCCCUACAUCACUGGACAAAACUGCCCUCAAAAUCUAGGAAUUAAAAGAAGACAUUUGGAACUUAUAUGAAGAAAACAGCAAGGACCAGAAAAGGAAACACACAGAUCUACCUACCGCCCCGCGAAGGAAGGAGGCCAAGACGGUAGCUGAGCGAGGUUCCUGGUUAACUUAACUCACAGUGACUGGCUUGGGGCAGCUCCCAGAAGCAAGCUCCUUGAUGAGUUUUGGAUUCCUUCAGAAACCUUAACCGGCUUACCAGCCCCACCCAGACAUGACAGACCCAGACUGCAGGUUCAGUGGGAGGAAAGCUUCACCUACCAUUCCUCAUUCUGCCUUCAUGUGUCACAGCUCCCACAGGUCUUAGAUGCAGAACACCCUCUGGUCCAGCUGAACUCCCGGGUCCAGGUGAGUUACACUGUCCUCACAGGAUUCCUUAACAUCUGACCUCCCUCCAAGAGCCUCAGGCUUUCUAACCUUCUCCGUAAUCCUGCACCUGUCCAUCCCCCAAAAUGUCCUGGUUCGCUACUUACUUGGGCUUCUCUUCCCUACAAGUUCCGAGCUGAGAGGGUCGAGUCCAUGUUUUACAACAGUGCUGUCACUGGCCUCUAGCCAAGCACCUCUCUUCAGGACCCACAAUGGCCGCUGAAGGUCCAGCCCAUACACUCGAAGACCAGAAUUAUACUUCGUUUUGUCAAAACCCUUUAGAACCUGGAGUCAGUCCUGUCUGUGUAUUUGCAUAUCCAUCAGAUAGAAGCUCCCAGAAUCUCAUGUAGCUAGCUACUUUGCAUAAUUACAUAUCCCAUCAUAAAUUCUACAAAGAAACUCUGAGGUGGUGUGCGGUAUGAAAAGGAAGUAAAAACGGAAGCUGCUUUCUUCUCGUGUUAGGGGUCACGUGACAAAUUCUCAUGGUGCAAUGCUAAUUAAUGUAGCUUUUCAACAUCCAAUUUCCAAAGUAGGGGAUUCUGGGGAGCCUUAGAAAGUUUUCUUGUGAGUGGUUUAGCUGCAAUUUCUGUAAUCUGAAUUCUCAAAACAGUCAACACAUCUUAAUAUGUUGAAAAAUGGUCCCGUUUAUUUGCGCCUUCCUGCCUGCCUUCCUGAGUUCAGCUGUGCCUCGCUGGAGGCCAGAUGUCCCUUCCCCAGAGUACACAGAAUAACAGCUGCCCCAUUGCUUCCCGAUUGCUGGUAUCAACUGGUAUCAACACCCACGGCCACCUCUCGUGGCAGGUGCUAUCGAUGUCCACGUCUGAGGAAAGACAGGCUAAACUUAGAUAACGAGUACAGUGACAGAGGCUAUCUGGAUCCAAGAGCCUAUCUCUCGGCCACUAAGGUCACGGCGUGACCUUCUGGGAUCUUAGGCUAUUUUAGUAAUUAGGAAUGUGCUGUUUUCCCUCUCUAAAGGCAGCGGACUUCAUUCCCCGUGAGUCAUUCUGUAGAAAAGGUGAUUCACUGCACACACCUUUUCCCAACUCAGGUCUCCCUUCUCACGGUCAGCGCAGGGGCGACAUCUGUGUUUUUCCUAAGCUUUACAUCUCUCAGACCAACAAGCAGCAGGCUAUGGUAUGUGAUACCACGAGUGACUGAUUGCUCGCCCUGGUCCCUGGUGACUUAAAAGAAGGGCAUUUCCUGGAAAUGUGGGGGCUGGACAUUUCAUUGUCGUGAAGUAUUCAGAGCUCGAGUCACUGUCGUUGCCCGGUAACCGGGAGGUUUGUGUUUGGCAGUGGAAAAGGCAGCACAGCCCAGGUACAGCUGAUUAUUUACUCAGUGUGACCUUCUCCCAGCUCCACACUCACUCUCGGAUUAAUGCUUAACCCCAACCCCUUUUCCUUCUUUCCUGGCUGGUAAUGGAGGCUCCUUCAGUCAAGAAAAUUCAAAUGGGAUAUGCUGUACAGACAAUACACCCAUUCCUCGGAGCUGAAGGAAAGGUGGGAUUGGAACAGGAGACAGGAUUCCUGCUCUUCCAGGGAGAGUGAGUGGAAUUCUACGGAGUGAGGAAGUGGCCUUCUUAUCACGAUUUUACCAGUGAGUUUCUGUCUCAUGAACUCAGCUAACACAACACACUCCCAAACGGUACUGACUCAUUAAUAUUGACCUCGAAAUCAAAAAGGCUUUUCCCUUUGUUUUUUGUUUUUGUUUUUGUUUUUUGUUUUUUGUUUUUUUUGUGAGAAGACCAAGUCAUUUGGUGGAAUGACUUGAAACAUUAUUUCACUUUUUUCCCCCCUUACAUCAAGAAUUGUGGGAUCCAAUAUGAGCAGCUUUGGAACUGAAAGACUUCUUGUCCUCAAAUACCACUUGGGUGGCACAGCUGGCUAAAGUCAUCUUUACUGAUUUCUGUCUCGGGAUUCAGGGUGGAAGCUCGUGAUGUUAGCAGGGAAUCCGCCACAGUGCUUGCCUAGCACACAAUCCCGGAUGAAGAGGAACCUUCAGCGCCCCCGACCCCAAACACUCUGAGCUAGAAUCCUAUAAGGCUCCAACCAUUUUUGCCUUUUCCUGUGAUUAGAGAAGUGAUUCUUUGAGAAUCUCAUACCUGAACACCAUGAAAGAGGAUCACGUCCGUUCUUCUUCUACUUUUUAUUGUCAGAUUCUCCACUUUCCUGAUUAUUUAAUGUUCAAAGGAAAAGAGUUGCUAAUUUAUUUUUUUUACCUGAAAACAUUUAUAUGUAUCAGAUACAUGAAUGGGUUUGGAUGUUUUUGUUGGUAUUUCUAUAUUUAAGUUUCCAUUUUGAGUGUUCUGGGUCUUGUUUCCUUCGAAUGUCCUUAAUUUCAGUGAACGUGUCUACACGCACACAACCAAGUAAGACGUAAUCUUCGUCUCUGUGGAAAAGCCCUAGAUUCUAAGUUUAUUUACCGUUUUUGGAUGGAAGGAUACAAAAGCAAUUUUAGAAAAAUUUCUUCUUUUUUCUUGCCGCACACUAUUCUUUGUAAUCCUGGGUUUUUGGUAUGCCUUUUACCCAUAGGCACCAACAAUCACUCCAAGGAAAAUAUUGGCUUUACUUUAUUUUUGACAGCUAUACAGCUACACAUGUAUAGACUUACUUAGCAAUUUUCAAUUAAAAUAUUAACUUCACAAAUUCCCCCUCCAACACCUCCUAUGCCCCCUCUCAAAUUCAUGACCUCUUUUGAAUUAUUACUUUACACACAUAUAUAGGUAUAUGAAUAAACAUAUAAAUACAGACUGGUAAAUGUGUUGCUAAACGUUGCUUAGGUGUAUGUUUGUAGGUCUGAUUGUCUUAAGCACCAUGUUAAACCUUUGUCAUCUUCAAACAGUGUUCUUGCAAAAGACAUAUUAAAAAAUUCAUAAGAUGUUUAAAAAAAAGAGUACUCUUAUGACCCAAAACUGGCUGUGUUUAAAAUUCUUAGCAAGAUAUAAAGGGUGUGAAUUAUCCCUCAAAUGUCUUAACCUUGUCUAAGGCAAAUUUCCUUUAAAUAGAGUUCACAGCUGAUAGGUGGACUCCUUGUGGCCCUAAAGAAGAAAUGUUUUGGUUCAUGUGUAUCGCCGGGGCUUGAAAGCUCGGGCAGUCCGUUUCUCUGAGUUUAGAUCUUAAGAGAUGAAUCUGCCUGCAGACACCUAAUUUAAAAUUAUGAACGUGUUAGUACCUGCUUCACAAAGACUUUAAAAGAAUUCCCUUCCUCUGGUUGAUGGGGGCUCCUCCUUGUCAUUUGUGCACAGGGCCCUGUCCAGGACAGUGAACGGUUUGUUGCCUGUACACCUGGAGAACCAAAUGAGCACUGACUGUCUUUCUUUCUUUGGAAAGGUGUUUAACCUUCACUUAGGCAUCUUUCCAUUGCGGCCAGAUGAACAAGAUAGCCUUUGUCUCCUGUUUCACAGAGCCUGCAGAAUGUGGGUGCGAAAAUGCACAAUUCACUAUUACACAGGGAGAUAAACAAAUGUUUGGGUUAUCAAAAGUUCAGGGCUAGAGCAACCCAGAGCCAAGGACACAACCUUGUUCAGAAAGUUCAGGGAAGUCUUCUUGGAAGAAAGGCUUUUUCAACUCAGACCUGAAGGACGAAGAGGAGUCAUGCUCGCUCGAGAGGGGUCAUCUGAAGCAGAAGGGAUAGUCUUUGCAAAGGGGGAGCUAUACGCUGACAAACAGUAGGCGAGUCAACAUGGCCGUGAUGAGUAAAUCUGGACCUUAGGUAACCCAGAAGAGAAGACAUCUGAGUUUUGCCCAAAGAAUAAUGGGAUCUUGGAGGUAACAUUCUCUAUUUUGUAUUUUACAAAAAUCCCAAAUAUGAUUCUGGACAUGACCAUCAGAUCAUUGCUACACUAAAGAAUAAAUACACAGGAGUCUAUGUUAAAUGGUUCCCUGCGGUACCGGUGAGAUGUUACCAUGUGUGAGGCUCAGGAAAGGCUGGUGGCUAAUGUUCAGCUGCGAAACGAGGAAGGCUUGAAUUCAAAUCCUAUCCCGUCAUAUUCUAUAAAACCACUUAAUACUGGGGAAAGUCACCUUGAGGUAACGUGUGUAAAACCCCACAAAUGGCGGCGGCCACAAUGUCACCCAGUGUCCCUUCCCAACCUCAGAGUGAAUAAUGGCUGCACGUCAUUCAGGGUCAGCUGCUGUGAUCAAUCUUCACUGACCGAGUUUCGAAUCACACUGGAAACAAGAUGCUGAGCGUGUCUGUGGCGAUAUUUCCAGAACGUUAGAGGGAAAACCAACUCUGAGGCCCUACCAUAUGAACCGGGGUUCCCAAAUGGAAUGAAAGGAGAAAGUGUUGGGCAUCAAUAAUUCUCAUUGUCUCUCAUUCUCUCUCUCUGCCCUCUCCCUUUCCCUCCACCUCCCCCCAUCUCUCCUGUGCCUGUGCCUUCCCUAACAUAAUGGGAUGUCUCUCCACCAACUGAAACCAACCCUUUCUUUAAUGAGCGUCUUGACUGGCAUUUGAUCUUAGUAGCCAACAAUCCGAAAAACCAAGCUAGUGAAUGGCAAGGAUUCAAAACCACUGCUCUUGACUCCUGAAAACGUAACCUGUUCGUUUGACCUUUGCCAAAGGGCCGAGAAAUGACAAAACAUGUGAAUUCUUAGACGGGAAUGUUGCUUAGUGGUGGAGUAACAAUUGGGUCACCUGACAGUAAUAAGGCAAGCAGACAGAAUAUCUUAGCGACGUCGACCAUCUCCCACGAGCAGCCUCAGUCCAGGGACUCACAGGAGGCCUUGCAGAACUUAGCAUUCGGUAAUAUCCGCCCCCUCAGUGGAAGAUAUGAAGGAAAACCAGCGGAGGGUAAAAGGCCAUGGGGCCCCUACAAGUACACAGGCCAUUCCUUCAGACACACAGGAGAGAUGUCAUAGACCAGGAAAUGCCUUGGAAAGUCACUGCUUAUGGCUUUUAUUCAAGCUGUCAGUUAUGAACUCUCCAGGCACAAACGCCAGACCCACACUCCCAUGAGGAAAGCCAGUGUUCAUGAUCAACCUUAGUCUUGGUUCAAACAGUGUACACACCGAGAGCCACUCUUAUCAGGAUGUGGUGGAGACUUUCCCCAAGCCCAAGCUCCACAUUGCCAGCUGUGGUGGCUUUGAAUGCAAAAUGUCCCUUAGUUACUCGGGUAUUUACAAACUUGGUCCCCAGUUGGUGGCGCUGUUCAGAGGUUUAUAAGGUGCAGCCUUGCUGGAGGCUGGCUUUGAGUGUUUAAAGCCUUCCUCAGCUUCCAGUUUGCCCUUUCUGCUUUGUGCCUGUGGGCGAAGAUGUGAGCUCUCAGCCUUUUGGUGCAUGCCUCCCUAGCAAUGGACUCUCUGGUACUUCAAGCCAAGUAAACUUUUCCUUCUAUGAUGCUUCCUUGCGUCUGUGCCUGGCAGUGAGUGCUGUUGGUCAUGGUGUUUUAUCACAGCAAUAAAAAAGUAACCAAGACACCAGCCAAAGGACUGACCGCACAAGCAAGAUGUUGAAGGACAGUAGUCUCCGGCCCUUUCUGUAACUCAGCUGUGUAUACCGAUGUAUUUCAAUUGGCUUCAAUAAUGGACAGCACUGUAGAGCGAAGGCCUCACUCCUCAUAGGCCACCUAAGUACACCGAGUAUCUCAGAAACACAUUUACCCUCUAUGCUUAAAGGAUUUAAAGUACAACAAUUGACUCAGAACUCUGGAGGCAGAGGCCAGUAGAUCUCUGUGACUUCCAAGCCAGAUUGG
This 6257-nucleotide small RNA is filed under the name Rattus norvegicus (Norway rat). Its description in RNAcentral is "uncharacterized LOC108350108". The record is from RNAcentral. Lineage: Eukaryota; Metazoa; Chordata; Mammalia; Rodentia; Muridae.